GAUGAACGCUAGCGGCAGGCCUAAUACAUGCAAGUCGAACGAGAUUAAGAGGCUUGCUUCUUAUGAAAGUGGCGCACGGGUGCGUAACGCGUAUGCAACCUACCUUAAUCAGGGGGAUAGCCCGAAGAAAUUCGGAUUAAGACCGCAUAAAAACACAGGAUAGCAUUAUCCAAUGUUCAAAUAUUUAUAGGAUUAAGAUGGGCAUGCGUGUCAUUAGCUAGUUGGCGGGGUAACGGCCCACCAAGGCGACGAUGACUAGGGGAUCUGAGAGGAUGACCCCCCACACUGGUACUGAGACACGGACCAGACUCCUACGGGAGGCAGCAGUAAGGAAUAUUGGUCAAUGGAGGGAACUCUGAACCAGCCAUGCCGCGUGCAGGAAGACAGCCCUCUGGGUCGUAAACUGCUUUUAUUCGGGAAUAAACCUUUCUACGUGUAGGAAGCUGAAUGUACCGAAGGAAUAAGGAACGGCUAACUCCGUG
Molecule: ribosomal RNA, 482 nt
Filed under: uncultured bacterium
Lineage: Bacteria
Description: partial 16S ribosomal RNA
Rfam family: Bacterial small subunit ribosomal RNA
Source: RNAcentral